UCGAGGAUCUUCGGCAAUGGGCGAAAGCCUGACCGAGCGACGCCGCGUGCGGGAUGAAGGCCUUCGGGUUGUAAACCGCUGUCAGUGGGGAGGAAGGCUCCGUGAAGAACGGGGUUUGACCUAUCCGCAAAGGAAGUACGGGCUAAGUUCGUGCCAGCAGCCGCGGUAAGACGAACCGUACGAACGUUAUUCGGAAUUACUGGGCUUAAAGGGUGCGUAGGCUGUGCAGUAAGUCGGGUGUGAAAUACCUCAGCUCAACUGAGGAAUUGCGCCCGAAACUACUGUGCUAGAGGAAGAUAGAGGUGAGCGGAACUUAGGGUGGAGCGGUGAAAUGCGUUGAUAUCCUAAGGAACACCGGUGGCGAAAGCGGCUCACUGGAUCUUUUCUGACGCUGAGGCACGAAAGCUAGGGUAGCGAACGGGAUUAGAUACCCCCGUAGUCC
This 442-nucleotide ribosomal RNA is filed under the name uncultured bacterium. RNAcentral's name for it is "bacterial SSU rRNA". It matches the Rfam family "Bacterial small subunit ribosomal RNA", at positions 355 to 796 of the family's 1533-position model. The record is from RNAcentral.